AGAGCGAGAAGAUGAUGCAUGUGAGCCCUGCCCUUGGGAAGCUUCCAGGUUGGGAAAUGAGGAAUGAGCCUGACACCCAGGGCCCAGAGAGACCCAGGACAGAGGCAGGUCAGGAGGCAGACACGCGCUGCUGGGUAAUGACGACAGCACCAGUAAUCACGGCUACUCCUUGUUAAGUACUUACUAAGUGCAAGACUCCAAGCUAAGCAAUUAAUAGACCUUUUCUUGUUUAAUCCUUACCACAAUUCCAUAGGGUUGAGUAGGAAGUCCUUCUUGAAGUCUAAUCUCAAGAAUUCAUGCCAUGGAUUGGGCCAAUGUUCCACCUUUAUUGGAGUCUGGGGACUUAGGUGGAAAAGGCAGAACUGGCUGGUUGGAGGAGCCACCUCCCUGCAAGGGGCCAGGAGGGAGAUUACGGAGGCGCCAAGCCCAGAGCUCCAACAUGCACCUGCCACAGCUCCAGGGGAGAUCGGGGGCCUGCCAAUUUACCCCGCCCCAUGAUCUCAUGGCUGUGUGCGCCAGGCACUGGCUCAGGGAGCAGAUGUUCUCACAGAGCUACACAUGCCACAGUCAUCACUAGUUGCGAGAGUCUCCAGUGUUCAUUAAGCCUAUUUUGCUGGAAGUUUAGUCCCUGGAGGAUUAGUCCCUGCCCUUAAGGAGUGCCAAAGAAGACUUUGGAAUCUAAGUCACAUCUCCCCUGCUGCAAUUUUUUCCUCUUGAUAAUCAAGGAAUCUCACUGAUAAAACUCUCAAUGAGGAGCAGCUCUCCCCAUGAGCAAGUUCUUGCCUUCAUUGCCAGGGAGGCCCCAGCUAAGGUUAUACUGGGAAAGGAAUCUCUGGGGAGUACCUGGAAGAGGUCAGCUUCUCCUCAAAGGAAGCCUCUCCAGCUGGUGUACUGCAAAGCCUUCCAAGACCAAGUUCCCUCUUCCUGGCCUCUGGAACCAGCCUGUGUGCCAGCGCUGUGUCCCCAGUAACACACAUGAGUCUCUCCCUCAGAAGCCACAGAAGGAUGCAGAGAGAGACCAACCCAGGAUUGAUUCUCAGCACUUACUAAUUGUGUGGACAUAACUGCUCUGGACCUCAGCUUUGCUAUCUAUAAAAUGAGCACCCUUUUUAUAGAUAUGAACACUUUAAGAGAGUCAUAAAGAUUGAAGUUGAUUUG
RNAcentral lists this long non-coding RNA (1158 nucleotides) under Homo sapiens (human). RNAcentral's name for it is "long intergenic non-protein coding RNA 2874". The record is from RNAcentral. Lineage: Eukaryota; Metazoa; Chordata; Mammalia; Primates; Hominidae.